This 253-nucleotide ribosomal RNA is filed under the name uncultured bacterium. RNAcentral describes it as "partial 16S ribosomal RNA". It matches the Rfam family "Bacterial small subunit ribosomal RNA", at positions 524 to 776 of the family's 1533-position model. The record is from RNAcentral.
UACGUAGGGGGCUAGCGUUGUCCGGAAUCAUUGGGCGUAAAGCGCGUGUAGGCGGCCCGGUAAGUCCGCUGUGAAAGUCGGGGGCUCAACCCUCGGAUGCCGGUGGAUACUGUCGGGCUUGAGUACGGAAGAGGCGAGUGGAAUUCCUGGUGUAGCGGUGAAAUGCGCAGAUAUCAGGAGGAACACCAAUGGCGAAGGCAGCUCGCUGGGACGUGACUGACGCUGAGACGCGAAAGCGUGGGGAGCAAACAGG